GAUGAACGCUGGCGGCGUGCUUAACACAUGCAAGUCGAACGGAAAGGCCCUGAUUUUGUGGGGUGCUCGAGUGGCGAACGGGUGAGUAUCACGUGAGUAACCUGCCCUUGUAUUUGGGAUAAAUUCAGGAAACUGGGGCUAAUAUAGGAUAGGAGCUCCUGCUGCAUGGUGGGGGUUGGAAAGUGUCGGCGGUUGGGGCUGGACUGGCGGCUUAUCAGCUUGUUGGUGGGGUAGUGGAUUACCAAGGCUUCGACGGAUAGCCCGCAUUAGAGGGGAACCGGCCACAAUACUACUGAGAGACGCACCAGUCUCCUACGGGAGGCAGCAGUGGGAAGUAUGACACAGUGGGCGGACGUCUGAGACAACAGCGCCGCGUUCGUGAUGACGGCCUUCUGGUUGUGAACCGCUUUCGCCUGUGACGAAGCGUGAGUGACGGUAAUGAGUAAAGAAGCACCGGCUAACUACGUG
RNAcentral lists this ribosomal RNA (468 nucleotides) under uncultured bacterium. Its description in RNAcentral is "partial 16S ribosomal RNA". It matches the Rfam family "Bacterial small subunit ribosomal RNA", at positions 28 to 507 of the family's 1533-position model. The record is from RNAcentral.